This is a long non-coding RNA of Canis lupus familiaris (dog), 1641 nucleotides long. RefSeq lists it as uncharacterized. The transcript has 5 exons. The record is from RefSeq and is a predicted model, not a curated record. NCBI's taxonomy places the organism in Eukaryota, Metazoa, Chordata, Mammalia, Carnivora, Canidae.
UCUAGCUCUUAGGAUAUGGACCUCGACCUCUUCAAACCUUCCAACCCUAAUCAAGGAAAGGAGACGUUUCCCAGGUUCCUACCCCUCGGCCCUCCGCCUUAGGGCCACCCCAGACGCUUCCUCCUUCCUAAACCACCCUUCCCGGCCUACCCCAGCCUUUAGUAGGCCUCAACCCUUAUCCACUCCGCCAUUGUUAUUUACAUCGUCGUCUGGGGAGGCCGAACGCUUCACCCCGUGCGGAUGGGACUCCCUGGCAGCGCUCAUCGUUGCUGGGACCCCCGGCGGGAAACGCCGAACCCCCUCGCCGUUCUCUCUUCAGCAGCGGCGCCAGCAGCCUGCAACCUGCCCCCGGCCCGAGCAGCGCCACUCCAGAACGCAGAGCCCCUCCAGGCCUUCUCCGCCACAGUCGUCACCGCCGCGGCUACUCGCCACCCACGGAGCAUUCGUGUAGUUGUAGUUUUCGGGCUCACCUCAUACCGAUCUGCACAAGAGGGAUGAGCCGGGGAACGGAAACUACAAUUCCCAGGAGGCUCAGCGGCGCAGAUCGCGCUGCGUGGCGGGAGUGCCCUCUAAAGCUCCGCCUUCUUCGGCCGGUGGAGGGAGCUUUCCCGCGGAUGGUUAUGGCGGUGAGCGUUCGUGUAGAGCUUCGUCGCCACAGAAAGCGGCUUAGAGGCUUCGUCGCCACAGAAACGGGCAUUUCGCUGUGAGAUGCUGCGCGACUGAUAGAGGCGUCUGUCGUAGUUAAGCACCUAGUUUUAAAUAAUUGUUGGCACCUGGAUGAUUAAAUCUUCAAGUUAUCGUAAAUCAAGAUCACAAGCCAAAAAGUAACAUAGGAAAUAAAAAAGACUGGAUCAUUCUAAGAAAUUUUACUCAGUUUCGUUACAGAAGGCUGUAUAGGACUAUUUUGCUAGAUUCUAAAUGAUAAAACAUAGAGCCUUGAAGCCCAUAGAAGUCCAGUAUAUUCUGAGGUAAAUUGCCUAUUAAUGAACAGCAGCAAGAGAUAUAACUGAUGGAUGAAAAUUAAAUGAUACAACAUUCGGAACAACUGCAACCCUAUCCUUUCAGAUACCCAGUCCUUUCCUAUUGGUUAUUCUGAAAUCUGAGCAACUCAUUUACUCUUAAGAGAUCAAAAGCUCCCUGAAAGAACUGAGUCUGAAUUCUGCAUACCAGCAUAGUUCCAGUGUCCACAAUGUUUGGCACUAAGUAGGUACUUAAUAAUAUUUGCAAGAACAAAUGUAAAUAAAAGAUGAAUAGAAGCCUCCAAAGGAUUCACAUUCUAUUCGACGAAGAUAAUAUGUGCAUAAGUAUAACAAUAUAACAGCAAAUACAGAGCAGCAAUUAUAGCAGUUAAGGCAAGAUCUCAAAGAUUCCACAAAUGUUCUGCACUGGAGGUUAUUUGUAUGUGUCUUAUUAUCAUGUCCCUUGCUUGUAGUCUAACAAAAAUUCUCAUACAAAUGUACUUAACACAGCACCUAGUAUGGUGUUACUUGUACAUAGUGGUCAUUCAUUAACUAUUUAAUUAGUGAAUGUAGACAAAUUAUGAACCAUAUAGUGGGCUUGAGAAUUAGUGUGCAUAAGAAUCAUCUGAGCAGAAUCACUUACUUAAAAUAUAGACUCCACUCAUCUAUUGGUGGGCUCUAG